Molecule: ribosomal RNA, 465 nt
Filed under: uncultured bacterium
Lineage: Bacteria
Description: partial 16S ribosomal RNA
Rfam family: Bacterial small subunit ribosomal RNA
Source: RNAcentral
GACGAACGCUGGCGGCGUGCUUAACACAUGCAAGUCGAACGGAAAGGCCCUGCUUGCAGGGUACUCGAGUGGCGAACGGGUGAGUAACACGUGGGUGAUCUGCCCUGCACUUCGGGAUAAGCCUGGGAAACUGGGUCUAAUACCGGAUAGGAGCCAUUUUUAGUGUGAUGGUUGGAAAGUUUUUUCGGUGUAGGAUGAGCUCGCGGCCUAUCAGCUUGUUGGUGGGGUAAUGGCCUACCAAGGCGGCGACGGGUAACCGGCCUGAGAGGGUGGACGGCCACAUUGGGACUGAGAUACGGCCCAGACUCCUACGGGAGGCAGCAGUGGGGAAUAUUGCACAAUGGGCGCAAGCCUGAUGCAGCGACGCCGCGUGGGGGAUGACGGCCUUCGGGUUGUAAACUCCUUUCGCUAGGGACGAAGCUUUUUGUGACGGUACCUAGAGAAGAAGCACCGGCUAACUACGUG